CCCUUCCGGUCUUCGAGACCGUGUUUUCAACUCGCCGCAGGACCCCACGAAAGUGGCCAGAAAUGCGGACGAGGCGAAGUAACCCUUGACUAUGAGUACCUUUUGUUCCCUCGGCGGGCUCGCGCCCGUCGCUGGGCCCAUCCAAACCCCUUUGCAGUAGCAGUAUACCUCUGAUCGCGGGCACUUGAAUCUUUA
Molecule: unclassified non-coding RNA, 195 nt
Filed under: soil metagenome
Description: partial internal transcribed spacer 1
Source: RNAcentral